This 663-nucleotide long non-coding RNA is filed under the name Homo sapiens (human). RNAcentral's name for it is "HSALNT0325352". The record is from RNAcentral. Lineage: Eukaryota; Metazoa; Chordata; Mammalia; Primates; Hominidae.
GUUGUUUUCUACAGUGUGGAAGCUUUGUUUUUUUUCCUCUUUGCAAUCAAUCUAGCUGCUGCUCACUCUUUGGGUCCGCCAUUGCCUUUAUGGGCUGUUAACGCUCACCGCGAAGGUCUGCAGCUUCCCUCCUGAAGCCAGCGAAACCACGAACCGACCGGGAGGAGCGAAUAACUCCAGACGCGCCACCUUAAUAGCUGUAACAGUCACCUCGAAGGUCCGCAACUUCACUCCUAAGCCAGCGAGAUCACGAACCCCACCAGAAGGAAGAAAUUCCGAACAUAUCCGCACAUCAGAAGGCACAAAUUCCGGACACGCCGCCUUUAAGAACUGUAACACUCACAGCGAGGGUCCGCGGCUUCAUUCUUGAAGUCAGUGAGACCAAGAACCCGCCAAUUCCGGACACACUAUGAUCAUACCACUGCACUCCAGCCUGGAGUACAAGGGCUUUACUCUAUGGCCCAGGCUAGAGUGCAGUGCUGUGAUCUUGGCUCACUGUAACAACCUUCACCUCCGGGACUCAAGCAAUCCUCCCACCUCAGCCUCCCAAGCAACUGGAACCACAGCAGGCUGAAUCCAGCAGGCUAAAUGCAUCAGCUUGGAUCCCAGAGUGAGGAAAAUGUCGCACAAAGGUGUCAGAGGACCUCGAUUCAUCUGGGAUGU